AGUGAACGCUGGCGGUAGGCCUAACACAUGCAAGUCGAACGGCAGCACAGUAAGAGCUUGCUCUUACGGGUGGCGAGUGGCGGACGGGUGAGGAAUACAUCGGAAUCUACUUUUUCGUGGGGGAUAACGUAGGGAAAAUUACGCUAAUACCGCAUACGACCUACGGGUGAAAGCAGGGGAUCUUCGGACCUUGCGCGAUUGAAUGAGCCGAUGUCGGAUUAGCUAGUUGGCGGGGUAAAGGCCCACCAAGGCGACGAUCCGUAGCUGGUCUGAGAGGAUGAUCAGCCACACUGAAACUGAGCCACGGUCCAGACUCCUACGGGAGGCAGCAGUGGGGAAUAUUGGCCAAUGGGCGCAAGCCUAGUCCAGCCAUACCGCGUGGGUGAAGAAGGCCUUCGGGUUGUAAAGCCCUUUUGUUGGGAAAGAAAAGCAGCAGGUUAAUACCCCGCUGUUCUGACGGUACCCAAAGAAUAAGCACCGGCUAACUUCGUG
This 492-nucleotide ribosomal RNA is filed under the name uncultured bacterium. Its description in RNAcentral is "partial 16S ribosomal RNA". It matches the Rfam family "Bacterial small subunit ribosomal RNA", at positions 29 to 507 of the family's 1533-position model. The record is from RNAcentral.